UGCAGUCGAGCGAACAGAUGAGAAGCUUGCUUCUCUGAUGUUAGCGGCGGACGGGUGAGUAACACGUGGGUAACCUACCUAUAAGACUGGGAUAACUCCGGGAAACCGGGGCUAAUACCUGAUAAUAUUUUGAACCGCAUGGUUCGAUAGUGAAAGGCGGCUUCGGCUGUCACUUAUAGAUGGACCCGCGCCGUAUUAGCUAGUUGGUAAGGUAAUGGCUUACCAAGGCGACGAUACGUAGCCGACCUGAGAGGGUGAUCGGCCACACUGGAACUGAGACACGGUCCAGACUCCUACGGGAGGCAGCAGUAGGGAAUCUUCCGCAAUGGGCGAAAGCCUGACGGAGCAACGCCGCGUGAGUGAUGAAGGUUUUCGGAUCGUAAAACUCUGUUGUUAGGGAAGAACAAAUUUGUUAGUAACUGAACAAGUCUUGACGGUACCUAACCAGAAAGCCACGGCUAACUACGUGCCAGCAGCCGCGGUAAUACGUAGGUGGCAAGCGUUAUCCGGAAUUAUUGGGCGUAAAGCGCGCGUAGGCGGUUUCUUAAGUCUGAUGUGAAAGCCCACGGCUCAACCGUGGAGGGUCAUUGGAAACUGGGGAACUUGAGUGCAGAAGAGGAGAGUGGAAUUCCAUGUGUAGCGGUGAAAUGCGCAGAGAUAUGGAGGAACACCAGUGGCGAAGGCGGCUCUCUGGUCUGUAACUGACGCUGAUGUGCGAAAGCGUGGGGAUCAAACAGGAUUAGAUACCCUGGUAGUCCACGCCGUAAACGAUGAGUGCU
This 779-nucleotide ribosomal RNA is filed under the name Staphylococcus sp. X37-CRBM-E14. RNAcentral describes it as "bacterial SSU rRNA". It matches the Rfam family "Bacterial small subunit ribosomal RNA", at positions 56 to 817 of the family's 1533-position model. The record is from RNAcentral. Lineage: Bacteria; Bacillati; Bacillota; Bacilli; Caryophanales; Staphylococcaceae.